AUGUCUCCUGUUACUCUGUAUUUAUUCCUCACAGCUGCAGCUCUUUUAACUGGACAUUGUGGAGGAGAAUCUGUUUCACAGACACUGGCUGCAGUCACACUGAGCGAAGGAGACAGUGUACAGUUGUAUUGUCAUUAUACAACGACAAGCAGCAACCCUGAGAUAUUCUGGUACCGUCAGCAUCCUAGCGGAUCCAUGGAGUAUCUGCAGCAGAGGCAUAGAUACAACGAGAACACAGAACGGUUCCCAGGGGACCGUUUUUCAACGGAUUAUGAUUAUGUGAAUAGCACCGUCCCGCUGAAGGUUUCUAAAACAGAACUGAGAGACUCUGCGGUGUAUCACUGCGCACUGAGGCCCACAGAGACACCGAACUGGGCUGAACCUGUACAAAAACUGUCGCUCAACAUAGCAAUGCCUUAG
Non-coding RNA from Carcharodon carcharias (great white shark), 420 nucleotides. The record is from the annotation of a RefSeq genome assembly. NCBI's taxonomy places the organism in Eukaryota, Metazoa, Chordata, Chondrichthyes, Lamniformes, Lamnidae.